RNAcentral lists this long non-coding RNA (1204 nucleotides) under Callithrix jacchus (white-tufted-ear marmoset). RNAcentral describes it as "lncRNA (ENSCJAG00000049689.3)". The record is from RNAcentral. Lineage: Eukaryota; Metazoa; Chordata; Mammalia; Primates; Cebidae.
CUAAAGGAAAGGCCCAAGGCUGCAGGCCUGAGAUUAGUUUGGCAGCAGCUCCAAAGAGCAGCCCUUCAAUCGCAGGGAUUGAGCCCUUAAAAGUCCUGGCUGCCUCCCACCAGCCCUGCUAAUGGGGCUGAGCUGUUGGAGCCCUGACCUCUGUCUACCCGCCUGAUGAUCUGCUGCUCUGAAUCUCACUUCCGCAGCACCCAGGAGGACCAGAGACUCGGUCUAGCUUAUGUGCUCCAUGGCCUUGCAUGUUUUCAGCACCUACUGUGCGCAGCAUCGCCGCGCCUCCCCAUCCCCCUGCCUGCUGUUACUCUCACCAGCGCGCCCAGUCACGGGCUAAUUAGUGGUUAAUUAGUCAUAGGCUAAUCAGUGGUUAGGGCUACAGUAUGUAUGCAUGGUGGGGUGCAGACAGUGGGGUGGCCGGCGGGUGACGGUGCGGGUGGAAGAGAACAGGAGAGACGAGGCCGUGGUCUGACCUUCCUCCAAAAAGCCCGGAAUCCCUGAGUCUGUCUGUGGCAGCUGUGGAACAGAGGGAGCAUGGGAUCUGAACCGUGCCGCCAUCUGGGAGAGCACACACACAGCCAAACCCCGGAAGGAAACUCGAGCUGAAAUAUACCGUUUGCUAAGGAGCCGGUCCGGGCACUGGUUUCUCUGCGUUCUGAAUUUCUAGAAAGGGAAAACUCUCCCUUGCCAGGCGACGUCUACCACCCCUUCCCACUGCGGCCCCUCCAGUCCGCACCCCUUCGCCUCCUAGACCCCCUGUGAGGACCCUCAGCAAACUUCCGCAAGGCCUGACGAGCCCUGGGUGCGGGGUGGUGUGGACGCAGAUCUUUCGGGCCGAGGGGAAGGCUGCGGGGGUGUGGGCGUGGAGGUGCCAGGAGCGCGCAGCCUCCGCCUGCCCGGCUGUCUCCGCGGACCCCACCGAGGGUGGGAGAGAAGCGCUGGGAAAAGGAAGGGGAGAAGGAGCCCGAGCGGGAGGCGAGCGAGCGGUUCUUUCGCUCCUCCCAAAGAGCGGGGCGGCUCCGCUGUGCUCCUGACAACCCGGCCGCCGCCGCCCUGCUACCGCUCCCCGGGACCCGUCGGCGCUGACACUGGUGACCCGCUGCGGGGGCGCGGGGCGCGCUGGACACUGGCCGCCGGCUCUCGGGCCCGCUCCUGUCGCAGGCUUCCGCUGCUUCCACGAGCCAAGCACAGACUCAUGUAG